Molecule: non-coding RNA, 4319 nt
Organism: Callithrix jacchus (white-tufted-ear marmoset)
Lineage: Eukaryota; Metazoa; Chordata; Mammalia; Primates; Cebidae
Source: RefSeq, a predicted model, not a curated record
GCUCCCUGGUGUGAGUUUGACCUCAUCCCCUCUCUGUUUUUGCAUUUUGGGUGGGAAGCUCUCUAGACCUGGAGGAAGCCACGGACAUGGGCUGCUUUGUGACUUAUGAUUUCUCUGUUAGGGAUUUGCCUCUUUAAAGUGGUGAGUGAGUUGCCAAUAAAACAAUAGAAUUAAAUCAAUAAUUUGUCCAUUGAAAUGAAAACCACUGUGAGAGGAGCAAACAGGAGUGUAAGGAGAGAGCGAUUCAAAUGACAGAGGAGGCCGUUGCUUUAGAUGACUCUGGUAGAUGGUACUGAAGCUGUGAAUGAAAGAUGAGAAGCAGGCAGACAUGUGAAGGGUUGAGGAAGCAGAGUCCCAGGCAGCAGCCACGGCAAAUGCUAACCUCUGCAAGCUUGGUGCACUCGCAGAACCGGAAGGAGGCCGGUUGGCUGGAGCAACGUAAACCACGGAGUGACCCCAAAAGGGGCUAAGGAUGGAGUGAGUUUGAGCCCUUUUGAUGUGCCAUGGGAGGGCAUGGUAAGAUUUUCAUCCUUAAAGCCUUUCCCAAGGGUUUUUCAGUGGGAGAGAUGCAUGAUCUAAUUGCUGCUGAUCAAGAUUGCUGGGGCUUCUCUGCGGAGCAAGGACUACAGGGGAAGAGAGUGGAAGCAGGUGGUGGCUGGUGAGUGAAGUCCAGAGGGAGAUAAAAGCACAUCAGGACCGCGGGUGAGCUCUCAACCCUGGAAACCUCAGAUCCUACUUGACUGGUUCUUGCAGUUGAGAGCAUGGACUGUAGGCCAACUUUGAGGUCCCUGUGGGUGUCACAGUGCUCAUCAGCUGGAUGGCAGCGUCCCACCCCAGGUACCUGUGCUGUGCACUGCCUGGAAGCCUUUCCUCUGCACCGAGGCAUCCGAAUAAAAUCUGAGAAACAGACUACUGCCCGAAGCCACCAAGGGAUCCGGUUUCUUGCUGCCACAGAAACGGCCCAGGAUGGGGGCCAGGCUGUUGGGCCCGUCGUACAUUUCCAGAUGAGGAAAUGGAGACUCAGAGCUGUCAGAUGACUUGCACAAGGUCACACACUGGCAGAGUUGGGCCAUGAUAUGGCGCUCUGAUGUCAGAGACGCUGCUGUUGACCUGUGCACUCUGCUGCACGAUCCUUCAGUACCAAUGACACAGGUGAGGUUGUAUGAGGUGCAUGCUGCUCCAGGCAGCAUCCUUAUGGUGGCUGCCACUGUUUAUUCCAUGCCAAGCAUUUACGGACAUUUUCUCACUUUCUUCUGGUGAUGCUGUGAAGGAAGAGCUAUUAUUUCCAACAUGUAGAAGGGGAAAGUGAGUCUUAGAGAAGCUGGCUGGCCUGCCCAAGCUCACACAGCUGGAGACAGAUGAAACUGAAUUUGACCCCAGCCAGCCUUCUCCAGCCCCCACUGCUAUCCAUCGCCAGGUUAUCCUGCCUCACUUCUCCCUGUUCCCCCUAAGGACUGCCCCCUAGCACUGGCCAGGGGAGCCCCACCAUUCCAGGCUUUUUAGCCCUGAAUGCAGGCUUCUCAGGUGCUGGGUAGGUGGCCGACUGAUGGCAGUCCCAGCGUCAAUGGAGAUGGGAUAAGGUGAGCGGGGACAGUGUUAGAUGAAGACUUGGACCAAAUGACAGAGCAGGGAGAUAGGACAUUAGUUAGGGGGUCGCAAUUCAAAAGAGCGGGGCCAGCCUGGCAGUGCAGAGAUGGAGGUUGGGAGGGGGACACAGGACCACCGCGGCAAUGCAGGCUUUCAGAGGAAUGACUCUGACGCACUACCUACCGCACUUGGGCAGAGCUCUUCCGCCUGUGAGAUAGGGAGCGCUGGGGCCAGGGUGGUGGGUAGAUACAUGGGGCAGGGGAGCGGUGGCACCAGGACAGCCAUGCAGUGGGAGGGAGCCUUAGGACAACAGGGAGGGAGCUCCCUGUCACCAUCCCCAUGCAGUGAACACCACCAGCUUCCUUGAGAAAUGUUCAACUCACAUUCUAUGGUAGCAAAAAGAGCUCAAUCAAUAUAUCCACCAACCAUUUCCCAAGGAAACGCCUUUUGGAAUCCACCACUUUUAUGUAGGAGCCUCAGGCAAACGCUUCCCGUGUGCGUUUGCGCGCUCCCAACGCCAGAGGGCGCCAACCCCGCGGUCCUCGGGGCUCUACGUUGCCAUCGCGAACAUUUCCUAGCAGAUGGUGGUCUUGGAGAAGCAGUGCCUUUCCCUAAGGCGCUCUCCAGCGUAUCAUCACCUAGAUUCAAGGCUGACCCUGGACAGCUGCUCUUAGCACAGCGGCAGUAUCCCCAGCAUGUGAGCACUCCGUGGUCAGAGGCCCUGUCUUCACCCCUCGACGCCUUGGGGGCCCAUUCGCCUUUUCUGCUUCUAACUCAUGGCUCUCACCAACAAACAUCCUGCAAGUCCCUGCGCCCUAGUCCAUUGAUCAUGGCUUCCCCCUCUCAGUUCUCCUUCACUGUCCCUAACUUAUCUGUCCACAGUUCAGAGGGCUAAUCCUACUCACCUCUACAGUCAGAAAACCCCAUUUAAAAAAAUGUCCGUCUGUUGGAAGUACAAUACAUUCUCCAACUGGCAAAAGGGUGUCUUUAUUCUCCAAAAUGUGGGAGUCCCUGGAGGCUGACAAAUGAGACUCCUAGGAGAUUCAACUCUCCUUUGAAAUAACUGAGCUUGGUGUGCACACCACAUGCCAUAUAUGUGAAAAAGAUUUUAAAUAAAGGCUUGGGGAAAAAAAUUUUUUAAUUUAUCUGGAUGUGGUGGCUCACGCCUGUAAUCCCAGCACUUUAGGAGGCCGAGGCGGGUGGACCACGAGGUCAGGAGAUUGAGACCAUCCUGGCUAACAUGGUGAAAUCCCGUCUCUACUAAAAAUAUAAAAAUUAGCUGGGUGUGGUGGCGGCCGCCUGUAAUUGCAGCUACUGAGGAGGCUGAGGCAGGUGAAUUGCUUGAACCCAGGAGGCAGAGGUUGCAGUGAGCCAAGAUCGUGUCACUGCAUUCCAGCCUGGCAACAGAGCGAGACUACUUCUAAAAAAAAAAAAAAAAUUUAUUCAAGAGGGAAUUUGCAUAAAGAAUUUAGUUUCCUAUUACUAAUGGGAAAAAAAGUAAGUUGUGGAAAAAAGAUGAAUAGGAUUUUAUUAGAGGAAUUUGAGUAAUAAAAACAUAUAUUUCCCUGUAUAUUGACAGUCAUGAUUGUGCACAGAAAAUUUCUGGAAGUAUCCACAAGAAUAUGUUUAGCAUGGUCAUUUCUAGAGUGGGAAUGAGAGCUCUGGGGUCUUCUGAUUUCUAUUUCCAACCUCCUGUACUGAUUCCUUUUUAAAAUCAUGAGUCUGUAUUGUCUUGUAAAAAAUUAAAACUGGAAACAAGUGAAUCUGAAACGGCACUGCAGAUGUGGGUGGUGAUGCCGCCCCCUGCUGGUCCCGCUGUGCCCAGGUGUGAACGAUAGAGCUUUUUUUUUUUUUGAGGAGUUUUGCUCUUGUUACCCAGGCUGGAGUGCAAUGGCGCGAUCUCGGCUCACCGCAACCUCCGCCUCCUGGGUUCAGGCAAUUCUCCUGCCUCAGCCUCCUGAGUAACCGGAAUUACAGGCACAUGCCACCAUGCCCAGCUAAUUUUUUGUAUUUUUAGUAGAGACGGGGUUUCACCAUGUUGAUCAGGAUGGUCUUGAUCUAUUGACCUCAUGAUCCACCCGCCUCGGCCUCCCAAAGUGCUGGGAUUACAGGCUUGAGCCACCACACCCGUCCGAUAGAGCUUUUGUGCAUUGUCUCUGACUCUGCACAACAGCCCCAUGAAGUAGGCUUCAUUAGUAUCCAUGUGUUCCAGAUAAUGAAACUGAGACCUGGACAUGUUGAGUAACCUCCCCCAAGUUACAGAGCGGAGUCAAACCCACAUAUGAUACCCAAAUCCGCAUUUUCAAUAAACUACAAAAAUGACUCACGAGUUUCACCCUGUGGCCUGCAGUCGAAGAGAUGUUCCAGGUGCACUCCCUCCGGCUGGGGUAUUUGUCAGGCCAGUUGGGACUCGCCAGGGUCCCCUCUGCACUGCUAAUCUUGUGUGCACAGCCAGCUGGGGAUGGUGGGGGACACAUACAGAAAGAGAAGUUAUUCACUAUGGGCAGCAUGAGAGACAUUCUAGGGGGGUCUCCUCCCCUCCUAACUGUCUCAGGGUCCCUUAUCAAAUGUGGGGGUGGGGCAUCCUGACUCACGUGUCUCCUGGCUCCGGGAUGUGCAGGUUUCCUUGCACUGGCUUUUUUGCCUUCCUGGCUGUGGCUUGGGAGCCAUGCUAUCUUUCUAUUCCUAGCCACAUUGCAGUUAUCCUUGCAACUAUGUUAAAAGCACUGGCA